RNAcentral lists this unclassified non-coding RNA (380 nucleotides) under uncultured fungus. RNAcentral's name for it is "sequence contains ITS1". Lineage: Eukaryota; Fungi. The record is from RNAcentral.
UCCAAUAACGAUGCCCCCACCGGACGAUUGGAUUCCACCAUAUAAAGGCCCGUUCACGUCGCGGUCCAAGUACACUUUUGCCGAUAUGACCGACGGAACGAGCAACACAAUUAUGUUUGGUGAAGUGUUGGGUGACGUUGCUGGCAAUGGCAUUACGCCAACAAACAGAAGGGAUCUAGAACUCGCAUAUUGCUGGAUCGGAAUGGGUCCGAUGGUGAGUUACUGGAUGUACGAGCAACCUUUGUCCAUUCCUGGUUGGUGGCGAUGGAGUGCGCAGCAUCCAGGAGUAAUCCAGUAUGCGAUUUCGGAUGGAGCCGUUCGAUCCAUUUCUCACACGGUAGAUUACAACCAGUUUUGGAAUAUUGCUGGAAUGCAGGAUA